RNAcentral lists this ribosomal RNA (253 nucleotides) under uncultured bacterium. RNAcentral describes it as "partial 16S ribosomal RNA". It matches the Rfam family "Bacterial small subunit ribosomal RNA", at positions 524 to 776 of the family's 1533-position model. The record is from RNAcentral.
UACGGAGGGGGCUAGCGUUGUUCGGAAUUACUGGGCGUAAAGCGCACGUAGGCGGCUUUGUAAGUUAGAGGUGAAAUCCUGGAGCUCAACUCCAGAACUGCCUUUGAUACUGGGAAGCUCGAGUCCGGAAGAGGUGAGUGGAACUCCGAGUGUAGAGGUGAAAUUCGUAGAUAUUCGGAAGAACACCAGUGGCGAAGGCGGCUCACUGGUCCGGUACUGACGCUGAGGUGCGAAAGCGUGGGGAGCAAACAGG